CGUUAUGGCGGCUGUGCACGGGAGACCUUAGGGUCUGCCGGGUUCCUUCUUACCCGGUCCGCUAACCCGUGCAUAGCUGCCACCCAG
This 87-nucleotide non-coding RNA is filed under the name Pseudomonas asplenii. Lineage: Bacteria; Pseudomonadati; Pseudomonadota; Gammaproteobacteria; Pseudomonadales; Pseudomonadaceae. The record is from RNAcentral.